GGAAUGUAGUAAUACAUUCAGUGGCGAACGGGUGAGUAACGCGUGGAUAAUCUACCUACGAGAUGGGGAUAACUAUUAGAAAUAGUAGCUAAUACCGAAUAAAGUCAAUUAAGAUGUUAGUUGAUGAAAGGAAGCCUUUAAAGCUUCGCUUGUAGAUGAGUCUGCGUCUUAUUAGCUAGUUGGUGGGAUAAGAGCCUACCAAGGCUAUGAUAAGUAACCGGCCUGAGAGGGUGAUCGGUCACACUGGAACUGAGAUACGGUCCAGACUCCUACGGGAGGCAGCAGCUAAGAAUCUUCCGCAAUGGGCGAAAGCCUGACGGAGCGACACUGCGUGAACGAAGAAGGUCGAAAGAUUGUAAAGUUCUUUUAUAAGUGAGGAAUAAGCUUUGUAGGAAAUGACAAAGCGAUGACGUUAAUUUAUGAAUAAGCCCCGGCUAAUUACGUGCCAGCAGCCGCGGUAAUACGUAAGGGGCGAGCGUUGUUCGGGAUCAUUGGGCGUAAAGGGUGAGUAGGCGGAUAUGCAAGUCUAUGUGUAAAAUACCACAGCUCAACUGUGGAACUAUGCUGGAAACUGCAUGACUAGAGUCUGAUAGGGGAAGUUAGAAUUCCUGGUGUAAGGGUGGAAUCUGUUGAUAUCAGGAAGAAUACCAGAGGCGAAGGCGAACUUCUAGGUCAAGACUGACGCUGAGUCACGAAAGCGUAGGGAGCAAACAGGAUUAGAUACCCUGGUAGUCUACGCUGUAAACGAUGCACACUUGGUGUUAAUCGAAAGGUUAGUACCGAAGCUAACGUGUUAAGUGUGCCGCCUGGGGAGUAUGUUCGCAAGAAUGAAACUCAAAGGAAUUGACGGGGGCCCGCACAAGCGGUGGAGCAUGUGGUUUAAUUCGAUGAUACGCGAGGAACCUUACCAGGGCUUGACAUAUACAGGAUAUAGUUAGAGAUAACUAUUCCCCGUUUGGGGUCUGUAUACAGGUGCUGCAUGGUUGUCGUCAGCUCGUGCCGUGAGGUGUUGGGUUAAGUCCCGCAACGAGCGCAACCCUUGUUGUCUGUUACCAGCAUGUAAAGAUGGGGACUCAGACGAGACUGCCGGUGAUAAGCCGGAGGAAGGUGAGGAUGACGUCAAAUCAUCAUGGCCCUUAUGUCCUGGGCUACACACGUGCUACAAUGGCCUGUACAAAGCGAUGCGAAACAGUGAUGUGAAGCAAAACGCAGAAAGCAGGUCUCAGUCCAGAUUGAAGUCUGAAACUCGGCUUCAUGAAGUUGGAAUCGCUAGUAAUCGUAUAUCAGAAUGAU
This 1293-nucleotide ribosomal RNA is filed under the name Borrelia sp. 57Nsk. RNAcentral's name for it is "bacterial SSU rRNA". It matches the Rfam family "Bacterial small subunit ribosomal RNA", at positions 68 to 1358 of the family's 1533-position model. The record is from RNAcentral. Lineage: Bacteria; Pseudomonadati; Spirochaetota; Spirochaetia; Spirochaetales; Borreliaceae.